CCAGCCCAGCUAAUGACCUAACCCUAGCCCGGCCCCGAUGAUCCCCUGAAUCGAUCCUUCCUCUCGAUCCCGACCUGGUUCACACCGGCGGCGGCGGCAGGCCGGCACCGAAUUCCAGCAGUUCCUCACAGACUGCCCGGCUCCCUCUCAGCCCCUCUCACACAGGCACGCAACAGCCAGUAGCAGCCCGUUCCCCGGCGGCAGCUCGCCGGCUGAGCUCGUCACUUCGCAGGCGGUAGCGGCAGCAGCAGCACCAAGCAAAUUUAGGUACUUGAUGGAGCCUGAUCUAACUUUGGAUGAAGUAGCAGAACAGAACAGAUCAGCACCUGACGAAGAGGAUGAAGAUGCUUUUGUCGUCGAGGAGAUUGGGGAUUCUUCAGAUGACCGACAGGCAGAGCCGACCGUGGCGUUGGAACCCAAGAAGGGGAUGAUGUUCAGCAGCGAGGAUGAUGCUGUCAGGUUCUACAAAGCUUAUGCCAGAAAAAAGGGCUUUGGUGUCAUAAGAAGGACGACCAGACACGGAGAAGACAAAAUGCUUACUUAUUUCACGCUUGCUUGUAACAGACAAGGGAAGGCUCAGUACUCAGCAAAGAACUCAUUCAAGCCUAAUCCGUCGACAAGGAUGCAAUGCCCAGCUAAGAGUAAUUUCUCUCGUCGUGGGGAAAACUUUUGUAUCACGACUGUUACGCUUGACCACAAUCAUCCUAUAAGUCCAAGCAAAGCCAGAUUUCUGAGAUGUCAUAAGAAAGUGGACUUGCAUUCCAAGAGAAGGCUAGAAUUGAAUGAUCAAGCAGGAGCACGUAUGAACAAGAAUUUUGGUUCUCCUGUUAUGGAAGCUGGCUGGUAUGGAAAUCUUGAGUUUGGUGAAAAGGAAUGCACUAACUAUUUGCAAGAGAAAAGAAGCCUGAAACUUGGUGCUGGAGAUGCACAUGCCCUUUAUCAGUAUUUUCUCCAUAUGCAGUCAAAAGAUCCAGCUUUUUUCCAUGUUAUGGAUGUGGCCGAGGAUGGACGACUGAGAAAUGUCUUUUGGGCAGAUGCAAGAAGUAGGGCUGCAUACGAGUCUUAUUGGGAUGUCAUCACAUUUGAUACUACAUACCUAACAAACAAGUAUACAAUACCGCUCGCUACUUUUGUUGGCAUAAAUCAUCAUGGAGAAUCUGUUCUAUUAGGUUGUGGUCUUCUGUCCAAUGAAGACACCGAGACUUUUGUUUGGCUGUUUAAAUCUUGGCUAUGCUGUAUGUCAUGCAAACCACCAAAUGCUAUAAUCACCGACCAAUGCAAACCAAUGCAGAAUGCUAUUGAAGAAGUUUUCCCUCAAGCUCGUCAUAGAUGGUGUGCAUGUCAUAUCAUGAAGAAGAUUCCUGAAAACCUUAAUGGGUAUGAAAACAUUAAAUCUACAUUGUCAAAUGUGGUGUAUGAUUCCUUGACCAAACAUGGUUUUGACAAAGCUUGGGCGGAGAUGAUCAAUAAAUAUGAUCUUCAGGAGAAUGAAUGGCUUGCUGGAUUAUAUGAUAAUAAAAAUCGAUGGGUACCAGCAUAUGUAAAAGAUACUUUCUGGGCAGGAAUGUCUUCAACAAAAAGGAGUGAGAGUGUAAAUGCUUUCUUUGAUGGCUAUGUCAAUGCUAGAACAACUCUGAAGCAAUUUGUGGAGCAGUAUGAAAAUUUACUAAGAGACAAGGUAGAGAAAGAAAACAAGGCUGAUUCUAAGUCAUUCCAACAGCAAAUUCCAUGCAUUACUCACUAUGACUUUGAGAGACAAUUUCAAGCAGCAUAUACUACUGCAAAGUUUAAAGAGUUUCAAGAUCAAUUAAGAGGUAAAAUCUAUUGCUAUCCAACUCAGCUGAACAAAGAAGGAUCAAUUUUUACAUUUGGAGUCAGAGAGGACAGCAAGAUUUUUUGUGAAGGGGAGGAUGGCAAAGGAAAAGAGAAAAGGGUUAUUUUAGAGUUCAUUGUCUUGUUCAACCAAGGGGAAUGUGAUGUGCAGUGUAUGUGUAGGCUCUUUGAAUUUCGAGGCAUCUUGUGUAGCCACAUCAUUUCCGUGCUUGCUCUCAUGGAGAUCACAGAUGUACCUUCUAGGUAUAUAUUGCAGCGAUGGAGAAAGGAUAUUAAGCGCAAACACACAUUUAUUAGAUGCUCCUAUGAUGAUAUGAUUGAUACACAAGUUGUGCAGCGUUAUGAUAAUUUGUGCAAGCGUUCCCACGAACUGGCAGAGAAUGGUGCAGAGUCUGAUGCAUUGCAUGACUUGGUGAUGGAUGGCCUUAAUGAAUUACAAAGUAAGAUUGACGCGUACUGUGCUAGGUAGGAAGUUUAAGAGAAGGAUCCAACUUCAAAGCAUGAAGAUACAAUGAAAAAGAAAAAAAGGAAAAAAUUGUACUCAGUCAAAAUCCCUAUUCGCAGUGUAGGUUGUCCUCCUUCAAAGAGAAAGGAAUCGAAAGUGGAUCAAGUGGUCAAAAAAUUGAGAGCAAAGAAGCAGCAGGUACCAACAAAUACAAAUGAAAUGCCAAGUCAAUAGAGGAGAAAGGACAAGGCUGGGAUGUACAGGGUGGUUUCUAUGUCAGUCCUGAUGCAAAGCUGCUAUUUGUGGUCCCGAUCCAUGGGAACAGUCCAGCCACGUUGGUGAUGAGUGGAGAUCACUGCAUCAGCAUGAAGUACUCCACUGCGAAGCAUGGCCAAAUGUACUUCCAAGUCUGGAUGGUUGAAAUUCAUGAUGUAGACUAAUCUGGAGAUAGGGUUGCUCAUGCUCAUCUGAUUUUCAUGAUGAUGAAACUCUUGGCAUCGAUUUCGAUGCCCUGUAGAUAGUCAGCACUAGUUGCCCAAGGCUUCAGACACGAUGUUUUGCCAUGUUUCAGUCUAGGUAUCAUAUAUGACCAGACACAAACCUUAGUCUUUCUUCAUUUAUGUGUUUGUCAGUUAAAUCAUUUAGUCUUCUUCAGUUUCUUUUCAAGUUAUCAGUUGAUCAGUUUCAUAUU
RNA transcript from Triticum dicoccoides, 2969 nucleotides. RefSeq lists it as uncharacterized. The record is from RefSeq and is a predicted model, not a curated record. The transcript has 4 exons. NCBI's taxonomy places the organism in Eukaryota, Viridiplantae, Streptophyta, Magnoliopsida, Poales, Poaceae.